Phasianus colchicus (ring-necked pheasant) is the source of this 5695-nucleotide non-coding RNA. The record is from RefSeq and is a predicted model, not a curated record. Lineage: Eukaryota; Metazoa; Chordata; Aves; Galliformes; Phasianidae.
GCCCUGCAGUGCAGGAGGCAGAAAUGACGCUCCCUGCUUUCGACAGAACAGCAAACGGAGAUGAUUUUACUGUUCCAAUUUCUCUUUUUUUUCAGGACAAGGGGUGCAGGAGGCAGAGGCAAUGUGAGGACGGGGCACAGCCAGGUCCCUCUCACCCCUCCCGAGUGCCAGCAAGCCAUGCGAGCACACCCGCCUGCCCUGUGCACCCCAGAGAGCUGGCAAACGAGCUCCAAACCAGCCCACUGCUUGUAAUCGCAGCCAGCCAGUGUGUGUGUUACGCUUGAGUUGAUGGCUGGUGUUAAAUUCAAUGCCUUGAGUAUUGAUUUCCUCGCACAUCCAGGACUUUGUUAAAGGGUUAGCCGUGAACUGAGAUCAAAGGGAGGUUAACUCGUUUCUCAUAAGUGGUAAAGCAGACCUCUAGCAAAACUGGGCUCCAGGUCCCCUCCGCAGAGGAUGCUCUCUGCAUGUUGUUAGCUCUCCCGGUCGUCUCGAAAGCCAGAUAAAGCCACAAAGCUGCCUCAAAGCAGGGAGAUAAAAUGAUCCUGACAACUUCGCAUGGAGCCAAAGCUAUUAUGAGUGCACACUGGGGACCGGCAGCAGGGGUCAGCAGGGGAUCUGUCCCCACUCCACAAGGAAUCGGUCGCCUCACCUAACCCAGAUGGCAAGCCAAAUCCCUGCCACUGAGGAGCAUGAGAGGGGGGAGCACCCCCAGAACUGCAGCUGUCCCAGUCUGCAGGCACACAGCACCCUCCUGGCCAUGGCCAGGUGACAAGGACACUUCCCCUUGAGCCACUGCUGCCACCAGCACCAUCUCAGCCUCUGGGGCACUCAUUUGCUCCAUUUUACUUUGCUCCUUUUUAGUUUUUCCCUGCUCAUAUUCAUUCCCUGCACUCACAUCACUCUGUUUUGCCAAGGCAGUAAGAGUUAAGUGCACAAAUAAGAGGACCAUAAUGGGGCUUUGGCUUUCCCUCCUUAAUUUUUAAGGUAUAGGAGGCAAUCUGGAACAGUUAUCACUACCACUAAUGAACGCCCAGAGGCACCAAGAAAGAAGCAUCCAUUUCAGAUCAACAUCUGUCAGCACUAAGAGGUAAAAUCUCAAAAAUACCUGAGGUACUCAAGAGCCUGGACUGCACCUCCAGAGAGGCUUAAACACCCAAGUCACUUGUCCCCCUUAGGUCAUCUGGGCACCGGUGCUGGCCUUCAGCCUCUCUCCUCUCCCAGCAGUCAAGCAGCUUCAGCUGCAGGCAGUGCAGCUUGUUUUGCCACCCUUGCCAAAAUAAAAAGCAAGCCCCCAAAUGGCAACGUUGUUGGUGUCAUUUCCUCUGUGCUGCAACAUCUGUAGGGCAAGAACCCCAACACAUCCUACCUAGGUGGUGAAACCCUCAGUUCUGUUCCUGAGAACAGAACCACAGAAUCAGAAUAUCCUAAGUUGGAAGGGACCCAUAAGGAUCACUGAGUUCAACUCUUAUGGCCAGGGUUCUCUGUGUGGGAUAAACAGGCACUCAUCCACCCCUCCUCCCAGAUCCCUGCCACCCAGCACGCCCCUGGCAGCUGAUUUGUUUUAAAGCAAAAGGUCUAUAUCAAAGUACUUAGGGAAUAUCAGUACCCAGCAUACCAAGUGCUGAAGAAUUCACUUAAACUCUCAGCAUCUGUGUAUCUCAACUAAAUUAAGCUAUUUGCUAUAAAAGAGCACAAUGACAGUAAUGGAAUAAUAACAGCAUUAAUAAAACACAACAAUCCUCGAAUGAGAAGCGGAUGCAUCAGCUAGCUGCAACCAAGAGAAGAAGGCUAUUUUAAAAUCACACACAAAAACCAUCUGGGGGUGGAGAAAACCAACAAAAGCUCUGAAACUCAGAGGUCAGACUGAAAUUAUGUUUUUAACCUCGAAAGAAAGAUGCUUGCCAGAGCCUUCUCAGCCACAGCACUCCCACACCAGCUGGAAAUGAAUUUCCACAGCUACUGGCAAAGCAAAGGCUCACAAUAGGAACACUGACCAUUUCCGGCGGGGCAGAGCUGGACGCCCAUCUGAAGCAGGAGUGCCCCUGAAGCAUCAACAGGGUUUGUAGUCCAGCUCCUGGGACAGAUGCAAGGGGCAAUGCAGUGCCAAAUGCACGAAGCCAGCUGCCCGCACACCAUUAUGCAAACAUCCAGAUGUCUCCACGCUGCCAUUUCCUUCUCACUUGGAAAAUUCGCCCUUGCCUCACCCACACAUUCUUCCUCCUUUGUUUUAGAUAAGGGUGAGGACAAGCACAGCACCUUGUUACUUGAGCCCCAUUUUGCAGGUUGCACCAUUUCUGGGCCACGUACAAACCAAGACCCAAGCGCCCCAAACUCUCUGGAGGAUGUUGCGGCAGCCCACACCGUGUCCCAGCCAAAAGGCAAACAUCUCUGUGCCAAGGUCAUCCCUGUAACAGAGCCCAUUGCAGCUCCUGCCAAGGACAACGCAGCAUGGACAGAUAUCUGCUGUUCUCUGUGACAUCAGAAAAGGCCUUCCCCAGCAUCAUGACACCAUCAUCUGUAUGCAGGUUCCUAUCACAAGUCCUGCUCCCUGUCCCCUUGGCUGCUCUAUCAACUGCCCUGUCAACUUGGCUGACAUAUCUUCUCCAGCUGCUCCAUCACCAUGCUCCUAACCUGACCCUUUCUAAAUUCCCAUGCAGAAAAAGCCAAGGUAGAAGCCGCCUAAAAUCUGAGUAGGCUGCAAGUUUCUUUGUUUUCAUUACGAUUUCCUCUCCUGAUGCUUUUUUUAAAGGCAUUUCUGUUCUGCCCCUCAGAGGUGCUCCUGUGAUUGAAUGAAACACGACCCCAGGCUCCAAUAAGUGUAUUUCAAUUACAUCUGUCACCGUGUAACAAUGUAAUGAUAUAUCAUGUGAUAUUAAAUCCAUGGUAAUCAUAUCAGCGAUUUUUUUAAUAGUGCACUAAUCACAUUAUUACAUCUCAAUAAUUAACAACAGAAGGCCUAAAAACCUGGAUACAAAGAGGGAAGCUCGGAGGGUCCCAGCUCUUGCCUAGGAGAGGAGCAGAGCAGAGCAGGAUGGUGAGGGAGAUGCUGUCAGGGCAUGGCAUGACCACGGGCAGAGUGCUGGGCACGGGGAUCCCGUGCCACUCCAUCCCCACUGUGCUUCAGCUCGCUUCCUGUUGCAGCCCGGUCAAUCUUGGAGUUUCCACAUCACAAGCUGAUCUGAAGAGAGCCUCAUUACCUGCCUUAAAUUUCCAGCCAAGCACUUAGCUCUUAAAGAUGGGAUUUAAGAAAUAUUUGACUGAUCUUUUCUCUCCUCAUUGAGUUGGGCUUCUCUGAACCAAUUCAACCUGUGAAGUUGAAAUACUGAGUGGGAGGGGAUGGAAGUGCUGGCGGUCACACUGUGCAACAUGCAAUAUCCCUGGCUCCCCACUGGCCCUUCCCAAAAGGCCAGAUCCUGUCUGACCUCCCCAGCCACCACCUCCUUCCCACUGCAGGAAGGGCAUGGGGGGAUUAUAGCUCUUCAACAUUCAGACAGCACUUUCUGCUGUGCCUGGAAGUGCAGACUGAUAUUCUCAUGUCCUUUUCCGUGCACAUCUUUCUCCUACCCCACUUUCUACCUCUUCUGUCCCCAGGGCUGUGCAAGACAGGCAAAACUCUGUCUGGCUGAGACAGAGCAGUUGGACUUUCUCUCCUUCCCCCACUCUCUUCCUUCCAUUUUUUUUUUAAUUUUGUCUCAGAAGCCACGAUCCUUUAAAGAUGUGCACGUCUCAUUAGCUCUACCUUGACAAUCAUUACCGUUGCCGCAAAUGCAGGAGGAGAACUCAGCCCGAGCGUGGGGGAGUCCAUUACCUCGCAGUUAAAGGGACACGGACAACUCCGGGCUGCCUGUGGCCCCGUUCCCACUUCUAGGCAGACCCUGUAUGGCCAAGGCCAUGCCCCAGCCCCGCAGGCACAAGCAACACAUUGCAUGUUAACAUCAUGCAACAUCUCACUUCAGCAAAAUGCUCCUGUGCUGGACCACAAGAGCCCACCCAGCCGUAAAGCGAGCAGCUAAUACAAACGGGUAUGGCAGAAGCCACACACAGGCUGAGGACCACCAGGAGGAUCCUGGGGCAGGGCACAGUUUCUAUGUACGAACGUUUAGUGACACCACUGCAGAAGGGGCAGGAUCAGAGCUGUGAACCUUGCAUUCAUCAACCAGCUUAAAGGUGCAAUGUCCCCUUGUAGUGGAAAUGCUGUCACAGCCUGAACCAGUGAUGGAGCACCUGCUGGGAAGGCAGGGCCAACCCAGGGCAGCUCAGGUGUAAGCAAUGGACUUGAGUGAUUGGAAGGGGUGGAGCCAGGAUCCACCCCUUCCCAGCCCUCAUUUAAGGGCUGCCAGGGGGAGGCUAGGGUAGCUUGCUGGAGAUCUCUGCUUACCUGGGGUCUUUUAAAGGUAGGAGCGGUGUGGGAUGGCUGGCAGAUCUGAGAGCAUGGCACGCCCCAGCGGGCAAAGCGAGCAGUGCGGAGGAAGGCGCGAGUCAGUUUGGAGUGCUCCCCAUUUAUCAAACUCACGCAGCCCGCCAGCAGAGCGAGUCUUUCUAUCAUUACAGCUCUCAAAAUCCGAUUCAUACCACUAAUCCUGCCUUCAUUCUCCCAGAUUAAUAACAUCUCUUUCAACCUUCACAGUGUGAUAAAUAGACAAAGAGAGAACAAAAGGAGAAACAGAAGUGAGAGAAAGAGCCAGAGCAACUCCACAUAAUAAAGAGAACCAAGAAAGGGGAGAAAAAAAAAAAAAAAGGAAAAAGAAAAGGGAAAGAAAGAAGCUGGCACACUUGACUCUGCCAUUUACUUUAGCAGAUUCUCCCCAAGAGCUCCCUGCAAUCUUUAAAGGAUGUAAAACAUAGCUCAAAGAAAAGGCUCGUUAGCAACUCUGACCAGCCCAGGUUUGCUGGAGAUCUUUUUGCUUCCAGCCUGGGCUCAGGCCAGCACUGAGUUUGUUGGUUCCUUUUCUGCUCCUUCUCCAGACUCAAGCACCAGUAUGCAUCUACUACCUCCUUGCAAAGGCUUCAUGGAAAGCGCUGGGGGUGCUCAGCAAGCCCAAGGGAUUCUGGCAUUGUCACGGGACCCUCACAUCUGUGGAAUCAUUAAGGUUGGAAAAGACCAUUAAGAUUGCUUUGUACAACUGUCAACUGGUCCUCACUGUGCCCGAUGGCCGUGUCACCCAGUGCCACAUUUCCACAGUUCUUAAAUGCUCCAGGGAUGGUGACCCAUCACUUCCUGCUGUAUUCCAGGACGAGACCCAUGACCCAGGCUUAGGGUGGGGAUGAAGAGAAAGCCACAACAGCAGCCCAGCAGAUGUGGCACUUGAUGCUAUUCAUCUAUCCGGAGUGUGUCCAUUGAGCUGGAGGCAAAGAGGAUGAUAGCAAGGGACCAGCCCUACUGCACGUGGAACGCUGUUGCCUGGGUGCAAGGGUGGUGGCAGCAGGUGCCCUCCUAGCACUGCCCUGCUCUGCUUUGAUAGGAAACAGCUGAUCCCUAAGGCAAGCUCAGCUUGCAGCCCCAUAAUGCAGAAAGCCAACUUCUGGCCCCCAAGCAGCACAGCCCUCUCUCACUGGUGCCAGCUAUGCUCCCCUCACAGUACCAAGUGCAGCCUGUGCCACCACACUGAGCACAGAGGAACAACAACUGGCCAGGAUGCUGCUUUAUUGUGGCUCUGCAUUCACAGCCCCCGUGCAGAGGCUGGGCUGGGUUGUU